RNAcentral lists this small RNA (91 nucleotides) under Candidatus Paraburkholderia kirkii UZHbot1. RNAcentral's name for it is "Candidatus Burkholderia kirkii UZHbot1 Burkholderia sRNA Bp1_Cand612_SIPHT". It matches the Rfam family "Burkholderia sRNA Bp1_Cand612_SIPHT". Lineage: Bacteria; Pseudomonadati; Pseudomonadota; Betaproteobacteria; Burkholderiales; Burkholderiaceae. The record is from Rfam by way of RNAcentral.
AAAAAAGAUGGGCGCAAUGCCCAUCUUUUCAAUCGAGGUCGCACCCGGGCAGCGAAAAAACUACGUGCCCAACGGCUAAUUUUAGCCAUUU